RNAcentral lists this small RNA (153 nucleotides) under Arabidopsis thaliana (thale cress). Its description in RNAcentral is "ATSL238830". The record is from RNAcentral. Lineage: Eukaryota; Viridiplantae; Streptophyta; Magnoliopsida; Brassicales; Brassicaceae.
AAAAGAAUAAAAAAUUAAAUUUUGAAUGACACAUGUAAACAUCUAAUCGUUUGAUUUGACACGUGACAUGAUCCUAUGAAUUAGUAACUUUAAAACCAUACUUUAUAUAAUAAGAUCAUGUAUGGAUCCUUUUCUUUUGCUAUAACUUCCAAU